RNAcentral lists this ribosomal RNA (497 nucleotides) under uncultured bacterium. Its description in RNAcentral is "partial 16S ribosomal RNA". It matches the Rfam family "Bacterial small subunit ribosomal RNA", at positions 28 to 507 of the family's 1533-position model. The record is from RNAcentral.
GAUGAACGCUGGCGGCGUGCCUAAUACAUGCAAGUCGAGCGAACAGACGAGGAGCUUGCUCCUCUGACGUUACCGGCGGACGGGUGAGUAACACGUGGAUAACCUACCUAUAAGACUGGGAUAACUUCGGGAAACCGGAGCUAAUACCGGAUAAUAUAUUGAACCGCAUGGUUCAAUAGUGAAAGACGGUUUUGCUGUCACUUAUAGAUGGAUCCGCGCCGCAUUAGCUAGUUGGUAAGGUAACGGCUUACCAAGGCAACGAUGCGUAGCCGACCUGAGAGGGUGAUCGGCCACACUGGAACUGAGACACGGUCCAGACUCCUACGGGAGGCAGCAGUAGGGAAUCUUCCGCAAUGGGCGAAAGCUUGACGGAGCAACGCCGCGUGAGUGAUGAAGGUCUUCGGAUCGUAAAACUCUGUUAUUAGGGAAGAACAAAUGUGUAAGUAACUAUGCACGUCUUGACGGUACCUAAUCAGAAAGCCACGGCUAACUACGUG